GACUUAGAGUCUCCUGAAGGAACGUUGAAGACGACGACGUUGAUAGGCCGGGUGUGUAAGCGCAGCGAUGCGUUGAGCUAACCGGUACUAAUGAACCGUGAGGCUUAACCUUAC
Molecule: ribosomal RNA, 114 nt
Filed under: Salmonella enterica subsp. enterica serovar Agona str. 400095 17
Lineage: Bacteria; Pseudomonadati; Pseudomonadota; Gammaproteobacteria; Enterobacterales; Enterobacteriaceae
Description: partial 23S ribosomal RNA
Rfam family: Bacterial large subunit ribosomal RNA
Source: RNAcentral